Molecule: ribosomal RNA, 2889 nt
Filed under: Acinetobacter baumannii 44857_9
Lineage: Bacteria; Pseudomonadati; Pseudomonadota; Gammaproteobacteria; Moraxellales; Moraxellaceae
Description: bacterial LSU rRNA
Rfam family: Bacterial large subunit ribosomal RNA
Source: RNAcentral
CAAGUAAUUAAGUGCAUGUGGUGGAUGCCUUGGCAGUCAGAGGCGAUGAAAGACGUGAUAGCCUGCGAAAAGCUCCGGGGAGGCGGCAAAUAUCCUUUGAUCCGGAGAUGUCUGAAUGGGGGAACCCACCUACUUUAAGGUAGGUAUUGCAACAUGAAUACAUAGUGUUGCAAGGCGAACGAGGGGAAGUGAAACAUCUCAGUACCCUUAGGAAAAGAAAUCAAUUGAGAUUCCCUCAGUAGCGGCGAGCGAACGGGGAUCAGCCCAUUAAGUUAUGUGUGUUUUAGUGGAACGCUCUGGGAAGUGCGAACGUAGAGGGUGAUAUUCCCGUACACGAAAGGGCACACAUAAUGAUGACGAGUAGGGCGAGGCACGUGAAACCUUGUCUGAAUAUGGGGGGACCAUCCUCCAAGGCUAAAUACUCCUGACUGACCGAUAGUGAACCAGUACCGUGAGGGAAAGGCGAAAAGAACCCCUGUGAGGGGAGUGAAAUAGAUCCUGAAACCGCAUGCAUACAAGCAGUGGGAGCACCUUCGUGGUGUGACUGCGUACCUUUUGUAUAAUGGGUCAGCGACUUAUAUUCAGUAGCGAGGUUAACCGUAUAGGGGAGCCGUAGAGAAAUCGAGUCUUAAUAGGGCGUUUAGUUGCUGGGUAUAGACCCGAAACCAGGCGAUCUAUCCAUGAGCAGGUUGAAGGUUGGGUAACACUAACUGGAGGACCGAACCCACUGUCGUUGAAAAGCCAGGGGAUGACUUGUGGAUAGGGGUGAAAGGCUAAUCAAGCCUGGUGAUAGCUGGUUCUCCCCGAAAGCUAUUUAGGUAGCGCCUCGGACGAAUACCAUAGGGGGUAGAGCACUGUUUCGGCUAGGGGGUCAUCCCGACUUACCAAACCGAUGCAAACUCCGAAUACCUAUGAGUACUAUCCGGGAGACAGACUGCGGGUGCUAACGUCCGUAGUCAAGAGGAAAACAAUCCAGACCGCCAGCUAAGGCCCCAAAAUCAUAGUUAAGUGGGAAACGAUGUGGGAAGGCAUAGACAGCUAGGAGGUUGGCUUAGAAGCAGCCACCCUUUAAAGAAAGCGUAAUAGCUCACUAGUCGAGUCGGCCUGCGCGGAAGAUGUAACGGGGCUAAAACUAUGUGCCGAAGCUGCGGAUGUAUACUUUGUAUACGUGGUAGGGGAGCGUUCUGUAAGCCGAUGAAGGUGUGUUGAGAAGCAUGCUGGAGGUAUCAGAAGUGCGAAUGCUGACGUGAGUAACGACAAAACGGGUGAAAAACCCGUUCGCCGAAAGACCAAGGGUUCCAGUCCAACGUUAAUCGGGGCUGGGUGAGUCGACCCCUAAGGCGAGGCCGAAAGGCGUAGUCGAUGGGAAAAUGGUUAAUAUUCCAUUACUUCUGUGUAAUGCGAUGAGAGGACGGAGAAGGCUAAAUCAGCCUGGCGUUGGUUGUCCAGGUGAAAGGAUGUAGGCAUGUAUCUUAGGCAAAUCCGGGGUACUCUAUGCUGAGAUCUGAUAGCAAGCUGUACUUGUACAGCGAAGUGGUUGAUGCCAUGCUUCCAGGAAAAGUCUCUAAGCUUCAGUUACACAGGAAUCGUACCCGAAACCGACACAGGUGGUCAGGUCGAGUAGACCAAGGCGCUUGAGAGAACUCUGCUGAAGGAACUAGGCAAAAUGGUACCGUAACUUCGGGAGAAGGUACGCUGUUGUUGGUGAUGGAACUCGCUUCCUGAGCUGACGACAGCCGCAGAAACCAGGCCGCUGCAACUGUUUAUUAAAAACAUAGCACUCUGCAAACACGAAAGUGGACGUAUAGGGUGUGAUGCCUGCCCGGUGCUGGAAGGUUAAUUGAUGGGGUUAGCGUAAGCGAAGCUCUUGAUCGAAGCCCCAGUAAACGGCGGCCGUAACUAUAACGGUCCUAAGGUAGCGAAAUUCCUUGUCGGGUAAGUUCCGACCUGCACGAAUGGCAUAAUGAUGGCGGCGCUGUCUCCAGCAGAGGCUCAGUGAAAUCGAAAUCGCUGUGAAGAUGCAGUGUACCCGCGGCUAGACGGAAAGACCCCGUGAACCUUUACUGCAGCUUGACACUGAACUUUGACCUUACUUGUGUAGGAUAGGUGGGAGGCUUUGAAGCUGGAACGCUAGUUCCAGUGGAGCCGUCCUUGAAAUACCACCCUGGUAAUGUUGAGGUUCUAACUCUGUCCCGUGAUCCGGGACGAGGACCGUGUCUGGUGGGUAGUUUGACUGGGGCGGUCUCCUCCUAAAGAGUAACGGAGGAGUACGAAGGUGCGCUCAGCGUGGUCGGAAAUCACGCGUAGAGUAUAAAGGCAAAAGCGCGCUUAACUGCGAGACCCACAAGUCGAGCAGGUACGAAAGUAGGUCUUAGUGAUCCGGUGGUUCUGUAUGGAAGGGCCAUCGCUCAACGGAUAAAAGGUACUCUGGGGAUAACAGGCUGAUACCGCCCAAGAGUUCAUAUCGACGGCGGGGUUUGGCACCUCGAUGUCGGCUCAUCUCAUCCUGGGGCUGAAGCAGGUCCCAAGGGGAUGGCUGUUCGCCAUUUAAAGAGGUACGCGAGCUGGGUUUAGAACGUCGUGAGACAGUUCGGUCCCUAUCUACCGUGGGCGCUGGAAAUUUGAGAGGAUCUGCUCCUAGUACGAGAGGACCAGAGUGGACGAACCUCUGGUGUACCGGUUGUGACGCCAGUCGCAUCGCCGGGUAGCUAUGUUCGGAAGGGAUAACCGCUGAAAGCAUCUAAGCGGGAAGCCUACCUCAAGAUAAGAUUUCCCUAGGACUUUAUGUCCUCUAAAGAGCCGUUCGAGACUAGGACGUUGAUAGGUUGGAUGUGGAAGCAUAGUGAUAUGUGAAGCUGACCAAUACUAAUUGCUCGUGAGGCUUGACUA